RNAcentral lists this transfer RNA (77 nucleotides) under Hyphomicrobium sp. RNAcentral's name for it is "tRNA-Pro". It matches the Rfam family "tRNA". From Rfam's summary of the family: Transfer RNA (tRNA) molecules are approximately 80 nucleotides in length. Their secondary structure includes four short double-helical elements and three loops (D, anti-codon, and T loops). Further hydrogen bonds mediate the characteristic L-shaped molecular structure. tRNAs have two regions of fundamental functional importance: the anti-codon, which is responsible for specific mRNA codon recognition, and the 3' end, to which the tRNAs corresponding amino acid is attached (by aminoacyl-tRNA synthetases). tRNAs cope with the degeneracy of the genetic code in two manners: having more than one tRNA (with a specific anti-codon) for a particular amino acid; and 'wobble' base-pairing, i.e. permitting non-standard base-pairing at the 3rd anti-codon position. The record is from RNAcentral. Lineage: Bacteria; Pseudomonadati; Pseudomonadota; Alphaproteobacteria; Hyphomicrobiales; Hyphomicrobiaceae. RNAcentral also lists the same sequence under 708 other names.
CGGAGUGUAGCGCAGCCUGGUAGCGCACCUCGUUCGGGACGAGGGGGUCGCAGGUUCAAAUCCUGCCACUCCGACCA